ACUCAAAUGAAUUGACGGGGGCCCGCACAAGCGGUGGAGCAUGUGGUUUAAUUCGAUGCAACGCGAAGAACCUUACCUACCCUUGACAUCCUGCGAACCUGACUGAGAGGUUGGGGUGCCGCGAGGAACGCAGAGACAGGUGCUGCAUGGCUGUCGUCAGCUCGUGUUGUGAGAUGUUGGGUUAAGUCCCGUAACGAGCGCAACCCUUGUUCUUAGUUGCCAUCAUUAAGUUGGGGACUCUAAGGAGACUGCCGGUGAAGAACCGGAGGAAGGCGGGGACGACGUCAAGUCAUCAUGGCCUUUAUGGGUAGGGCUACACACGUGCUACAAUGGGGCGUACAAAGGGUAGCGAACCCGCGAGGGGGAGCCAAUCUUAUCAAAGCGCCUCGUAGUCCAGAUUGGAGUCUGCAACUCGACUCCAUGAAGUUGGAAUCGCUAGUAAUCGCGAAUCAGCGACGUCGCGGUGAAUACGUUCCCGGGCCUUGUACACACCGCCCGU
RNAcentral lists this ribosomal RNA (499 nucleotides) under uncultured bacterium. Its description in RNAcentral is "partial 16S ribosomal RNA". It matches the Rfam family "Bacterial small subunit ribosomal RNA", at positions 899 to 1397 of the family's 1533-position model. The record is from RNAcentral.